RNAcentral lists this ribosomal RNA (396 nucleotides) under uncultured bacterium. RNAcentral's name for it is "bacterial SSU rRNA". It matches the Rfam family "Bacterial small subunit ribosomal RNA", at positions 362 to 775 of the family's 1533-position model. The record is from RNAcentral.
UUUUGCGCAAUGGGCGAAAGCCUGACGCAGCAACGCCGCGUGCGGGACGAAGGCCCUAGGGUUGUAAACCGCUUUCAGCAGGGAAGAUCCAAGACGGUACCUGCAGAAGAAGCUCCGGCUAACUACGUGCCAGCACCCGCGGUAAUUCGUAGGGGGCGAGCGUUAUCCGGAUUCAUUGGGCGUAAAGCGCGCGUAGGCGGCCGCCUAAGCGGAACCUCUAAUCACGGGGCUCAACCUCGGGCCGGGUUCCGGACUGGGCGGCUCGAGUGCGGUAGAGGAGGGCGGAAUUCCCGGUGUAGCGGUGGAAUGCGCAGAUAUCGGGAAGAACACCGAUGGCGAAGGCAGCUCUCUGGGCCGUCACUGACGCUGAGGCGCGAAAGCUGGGGGAGCGAACAG